CUUCGGAGUUCGCCCCCUUUGGGACUCACCUCCGGGAGACCCCGAGGGGGAGAGGGCGCUUCCUCUGCGUCCAUCGCCCUUGCGGCCCCUGGGAGAGCUCUUGUCAGAGCUAUUAGCUCUGCUUUCUAAGCAGAAGUUUCUGUAGACACAGACGGCACCUCUGCUACUGAGUCCAAAGUCACCGCGGCAUACCCAGCUCGGCAGACUCCCUUUAGUAUGAAACUGCUUCCAUCAGUAAAAUAUUCAAUGUCCAGGUCCCCGAGGGGCUGAUCUGCUAAAUGUUUCCGGCCUGAGAACACUUUAUCUACCACGUCCACACAGCAAUGAAGGGGACUUCCUGUGUAGGGUCCAGCCCUAUGGGGGCUUAGCGGGUGUUCUCCCCGUGUGCAGAGACAAGAGAUUGUAAGAAAUAAAGACACAAGACAAACAGAUAAAGAGAAAACAGCUGGGCCCGGGGGACCACUACCACUAAGACAUGGAGACCGGUAGUGGCUCCGAAUGGCUGGGUGCGCUGGUAUUUAUUGAAUACAAGACAAGGGGGCAGGGUAAGGAGGGUGAGUCGUCCAAGUGAUUGAUAAGGUCAGGCAAGUCACGUGAUCAUAGGACAGGGGGCCCUUCCCUUUUAGGUAGCCGAGCAGAGAGAGAAGGCAGCAUACAUCAGCGUUUUCUUCUAUGCACUUUUAAGAAGGAUCAAAGACUUUAAGACUUUCACUAUUUCUUCUACCGCUAUCUACUACGAACUUCAAAGAGGAACCAGGAGUACGGGAAGAGCAUGAAAGUGGACAAGCAGUGUGACCACUGAAGCACCACAGGGAGGGGUUUAGGCCUCCGGAUGACUGCGGGCAGGCCUGGAGAAUAUCCAGCCUCCCACAAGAAGCUGGUGGAGCAGAGUGUUCCCUGACUCCUCCAAGGAAAGGAGACUCCCUUUCAUGGUCUGCUAAGUAACAGGUGCCUUCCCAGGUACUGGUGUUAUCGCUGGACCAAGGAGCCCUCAAGCGGCCCUUAUGUUGGCGUGACAGAGGGCUCACCUCUUGCCUUGUAGGUCACUUCUCACAAUGUCCCUUCAGCACCUGACCCUACACCCGCCGGUUAUUCCUAGGUUAUAUUAGUAAUGCAGCAAAGAUUAAUAUUAAAAGCUAAUGACUAA
This 1147-nucleotide non-coding RNA is filed under the name Pongo abelii (Sumatran orangutan). Lineage: Eukaryota; Metazoa; Chordata; Mammalia; Primates; Hominidae. The record is from RNAcentral.